RNAcentral lists this ribosomal RNA (262 nucleotides) under uncultured bacterium. Its description in RNAcentral is "partial 16S ribosomal RNA". It matches the Rfam family "Bacterial small subunit ribosomal RNA", at positions 793 to 1055 of the family's 1533-position model. The record is from RNAcentral.
GUCCACGCCCUAAACGAUGUCAACUGGUUGUUGGACGGCUUGCUGUUCAGUAACGAAGCUAACGCGUGAAGUUUACCGCCUGGGGAGUACGGCCGCAAGGUUGAAACUCAAAGGAAUUGACGGGACCCGCACAAGCGGUGGAUGAUGUGGUUUAAUUCGAUGCAACGCGAAAACCUUACCUACCCUUGACAUGUCUAGAAGUUUCCAGAGAUGGAUUCGUGCUCGAAAGAGAGCUAGAACACAGGUGCUGCAUGGCCGUCGU